RNAcentral lists this ribosomal RNA (302 nucleotides) under uncultured bacterium. Its description in RNAcentral is "partial 16S ribosomal RNA". It matches the Rfam family "Bacterial small subunit ribosomal RNA", at positions 508 to 809 of the family's 1533-position model. The record is from RNAcentral.
GCAGUAGCCGCGGGAAUACGUAGGGUGCAAGCGUUAAUCGGAAUUACUGGGCGUAAAGCGUGCGCAGGCGGUUAUAUAAGACAGAUGUGAAAUCCCCGGGCUCAACCUGGGAACUGCAUUUGUGACUGUAUAGCUAGAGUACGGCAGAGGGGGAUGGAAUUCCGCGUGUAGCAGUGAAAUGCGUAGAUAUGCGGAGGAACACCGAUGGCGAAGGCAAUCCCCUGGGCCUGUACUGACGCUCAUGCACGAAAGCGUGGGGAGCAAACAGGAUUAGAUACCCCCGUAGUCCCUGUCUCUUACAC